Molecule: long non-coding RNA, 1140 nt
Filed under: Sus scrofa (pig)
Lineage: Eukaryota; Metazoa; Chordata; Mammalia; Artiodactyla; Suidae
Description: lncRNA (ENSSSCG00045008938.1)
Source: RNAcentral
GAAUUCCUUCAUGGCUCAGCAGGUUAAGGAUUUGGCCACUGGCCACUGUCACUGCUCUGGCUCUGUUUACAGCUGUCAGGGGGGUUUGAUCUCUGGCCAGGGAUCUUCCGCAUGCCACAGGUGCAGCCAAAAAAAAAAAAAAGGGGAAUUCAGAUUGUCAUACUUUUAAUGUUUGCUGAACUAGUGAGUGCAAAAUGAUAUCUUAGUUUUAAUUUGUAGUUCCUGAAUAAUUAAUUUGGUUGAGUAUUUAUUUAUUCAUGUGUUUGUUGGCUUUUCUAAUUUCCUUAUCUACAAAGUAAAUGCAGUUCAUAUCUCUCUUUACUUUCUUAGCCCUUUUAUAUCCACAUGUGGAUGAGGAGUUAAAGAUACAUGAGUAGCACUGAGGCAGAUGAAGAGGAAUGAGGCAGAAUGAGUGUUCCAAGAAGAGAAGACACCAUAUUUGAAAUGCCAGACAUCAGUGAGAAUGUGGGGUGUUUGAGAAACCAAGAGAAAUCCUAUGCAUUAUGAUGCUAAAAUGCAAGCUUUGAUUUUAAGUCUUUUCAGGAGAGAAAUGGAGCCAUGGAACAAAAUGAUCUCUAAGUUUACUUCUGGAUUUAAAAACUUUGUAUCUGAAGUUGUUUCAAGUGAACUCAAAAAAGAAAAAAAAAAAAAGGUAAGAUUUUUUAGCUGCUGGUUUUUAAACUGGCCACUCAUCAAAAUCACUUAGAGCUUUUUAAAAAUGGGAGUUUGAUGGAAAUGCUAUAAAAUUGGGUUGUGAUGAUCGUUAUACAACUAUGAAUGUAAAAAAAUUCAUUAAAAAAUAAAAAAAUAAAAAUGUAGAUCUUCUAACCUGUUCUAGUCAUUGGCAGAUGCAGACAUGGAAACUAUUUCCAUCAAAUUCUCCAGGUAAUGUCUAUCCAUUAGAUAAACUUGGGAAUCACUAAACCAUGCCACAAGGCGGCGCCUUGGAGACACUGAUUUCCAUCUCAAUGAUUUAAAACCAUUUUGAAUAUUAGAAAAAAAAUAAAAUUGAUUUGCCAUUUCCUUUUAAACUUUUUAAAAAAAAUUUGUUGGAAUAGAGUUGACUUACAGAGUUCCAUAUCUUAUUUUACUUCAUGUAAUUUGAAAUGAAUUUGUGGUUAAAACAUCUCUUACUUUUCA